This 354-nucleotide transfer-messenger RNA is filed under the name Salmonella enterica subsp. enterica serovar Montevideo. RNAcentral's name for it is "partial transfer-messenger RNA". It matches the Rfam family "transfer-messenger RNA". Rfam says of the family: Bacterial tmRNA, also known as 10Sa RNA or SsrA, is named for its dual tRNA and mRNA-like properties. Its role is to liberate the mRNA from a stalled ribosome. The record is from RNAcentral. Lineage: Bacteria; Pseudomonadati; Pseudomonadota; Gammaproteobacteria; Enterobacterales; Enterobacteriaceae. RNAcentral also lists the same sequence under 1 other name.
GGGGCUGAUUCUGGAUUCGACGGGAUUUGCGAAACCCAAGGUGCAUGCCGAGGGGCGGUUGGCCUCGUAAAAAGCCGCAAAAAAAUAGUCGCAAACGACGAAAACUACGCUUUAGCAGCUUAAUAACCUGCUUAGAGCCCUCUCUCCCUAGCCUCCGCUCUUAGGACGGGGAUCAAGAGAGGUCAAACCCAAAAGAGAUCGCGCGGAUGCCCUGCCUGGGGUUGAAGCGUUAAAACGAAUCAGGCUAGUCUGGUAGUGGCGUGUCCGUCCGCAGGUGCCAGGCGAAUGUAAAGACAGACUAAGCAUGUAGUACCGAGGAUGUAGGAAUUUCGGACGCGGGUUCAACUCCCGCCA